Molecule: ribosomal RNA, 433 nt
Filed under: uncultured bacterium
Lineage: Bacteria
Description: partial 16S ribosomal RNA
Rfam family: Bacterial small subunit ribosomal RNA
Source: RNAcentral
AACGAACGCUGGCGGCAUGCCUAACACAUGCAAGUCGAACGAGACCUUCGGGUCUAGUGGCGCACGGGUGCGUAACGCGUGGGAACCCACCCUUAGGUUCGGAAUAACUCCCCGAAAGGGGUGCUAAUACCGGAUAAUGUCUUCGGACCAAAGAUUUAUCGCCUUUGGAUGGGCCCGCGUUGGAUUAGCUAGUUGGUAGGGUAAAAGCCUACCAAGGCGACGAUCCAUAGCUGGUCUGAGAGGAUGAUCAGCCACACUGGGACUGAGACACGGCCCAGACUCCUACGGGAGGCAGCAGUGGGGAAUAUUGGACAAUGGGCGAAAGCCUGAUCCAGCAAUGCCGCGUGAGUGAUGAAGGCCUUAGGGUUGUAAAGCUCUUUUACCCGGGAUGAUAAUGACAGUACCGGGAGAAUAAGCUCCGGCUAACUCCGUG